RNAcentral lists this ribosomal RNA (433 nucleotides) under uncultured bacterium. Its description in RNAcentral is "partial 16S ribosomal RNA". It matches the Rfam family "Bacterial small subunit ribosomal RNA", at positions 29 to 507 of the family's 1533-position model. The record is from RNAcentral.
AGCGAACGCUGGCGGCAGGCCUAACACAUGCAAGUCGAACGAACUCUUCGGAGUUAGUGGCGGACGGGUGAGUAACACGUGGGAACGUGCCUUUUGGUUCGGAAUAACUCAGGGAAACUUGUGCUAAUACCGAAUGUGCCCUUCGGGGGAAAGAUUUAUCGCCAUUAGAGCUGCCCGCUUCUGAUUAGCUAGUUGGUGAGGUAACGGCUCACCAAGGCGACGAUCAGUAGCUGGUAUGAGAGGAUGACCAGCCACACUGGGACUGAGACACGGCCCAGACUCCUACGGGAGGCAGCAGUGGGGAAUCUUGCGCAAUGGGCGAAAGCCUGACGCAGCCAGGCCGCGUGAAUGAUAAAGGUCUUAGGAUUGUAAAAUUCUUUCACCGGGGACGAUAAUGACGGUACCCGGAGAAGAAGCCCCGGCUAACUUCGUG